This 164-nucleotide ribosomal RNA is filed under the name uncultured bacterium. Its description in RNAcentral is "partial 16S rRNA". It matches the Rfam family "Bacterial small subunit ribosomal RNA", at positions 355 to 511 of the family's 1533-position model. The record is from RNAcentral.
UAGGGAAUCUUCCACAAUGGGCGAAAGCCUGAUGGAGCAACGCCGCGUGUGUGAUGAAGGGUUUCGGCUCGUAAAACACUGUUGUAAGAGAAGAAUGACAUUGAGAGUAACUGUUCAAUGUGUGACGGUAUCUUACCAGAAAGGAACGGCUAAAUACGCACCAG